UAGCAUAGUGUACCAUGCUGUACUAUACAGUACGAGCAUAGUAAAAUAUAGUUCAAUGCGACAUAGUAUAAUGUAACAUAGCAUAACGUCGAAUAUAUGCUUUAAUAUCGUGCUCUUGCAAAAGACUGCCAACUUUUUUAGCGAGAGAGUUAAUCAUCGGUACGCAUGACGUGUAUACGAACGAAGUUCUGAUGAACUUUUUGCAUCCUCGAGUUUCACCCUCGAUGGCGAUCAAGUUCCACAUGAGAUACAUUCAACAAGAGAAUACGUAUCGAUACACAAAUUCUUAUGUUACACGAGGUAACCAAGGUAACAAAGCUUGUCGAAAGGCAAGUCGUCCAUCGAACGACUCGAUGAAAUCCACGAAGAAUGCGUCACUCGAAACGAUAUUACCAACCCAUCGGGUUAAUUGAACCAUAACAAAUUUCUCGAGGAAAGCCAAGGCUCUCACUUUCUCAUGUUUUUGCUUGGCGACCGUGUAACAGGAGAAUCGAAUCGACCGGUACAGUUUCGAGCGAAGAAGAGAAGCAUGGGAUCCUGGGGACACGUUCAUCCCUGGUCCCGCAUUUCGGAUCCUGUGACGAUCCGCCUUUGUGGGUGGUAGAUGGAAUAAGAACGAGGGAAGAACCCCUCGUUCUUCGUCGACCUCCGCUUCGUUCUCCUCGUUCAGACCUAACCAUUGUACAUACGAUAUACUAUUAUACACUACGGUUCAAAAGUAUCUGGAUAUUUGGUUAUUUUUCACAGGAUGCAAUUUAGUGUAAUUACGGACAAGAGAAUUUACGAUGAUUUUCAUUGCUUAUGAUUAACGCUAGGAUUAUUUGUCGACGAUUGAACGUACAAAACUUGCACCGG
RNAcentral lists this unclassified non-coding RNA (855 nucleotides) under Bombus terrestris (buff-tailed bumblebee). RNAcentral describes it as "misc RNA ENSBTSG00005020208.1". Lineage: Eukaryota; Metazoa; Arthropoda; Insecta; Hymenoptera; Apidae. The record is from RNAcentral.